Long non-coding RNA from Notothenia coriiceps (black rockcod), 394 nucleotides. RefSeq lists it as uncharacterized. The record is from RefSeq and is a predicted model, not a curated record. The transcript is spliced from 4 exons. NCBI's taxonomy places the organism in Eukaryota, Metazoa, Chordata, Actinopteri, Perciformes, Nototheniidae.
ACACAGCUCCCAGAGUCCUCUGUCCUUCUGUCCCCUUGUUGAUGCUGCAUUAUAUUGUCUAUCUGUCUGAGUAAAUAACAACUGUCUGAUGAACUGAGCGACACUUACAACCUGAGCUUCCCCUCCUCUCUCUCUUGCUGUGCGUUGUGGGUGUGGUCUUCUUCAGAGUUUUGAAAUCUUAUCGUGAUGAAGAGAAGAGUGCUUCUCCAGAGAAAUACUCAGUAGGGGAGUGUGUGGAUUCGGAGAGAACGGGUGUCAACAGCUCAGCCGCAGCCAGCUGUCCCAAAACAGGCAGUGAGAAGCUACCCAACGGUCCUCUGGAGGAAAUGUCGGCCAGCGAGGAGGCCAAGGAGUGUAAAAGGCGUAAGGACCAAAAUGCAGACACUCAUAGCAG